GAGAAUUUUUCUCAAUGGGGGAAACCCUGAAGGAGCGACGCCGCGUGGAGGAUGAAGGUCUUCGGAUUGUAAACUCCUGUCAUUUGAGAACAAGUGUAUGCGAGUAACUACCGCGUACUUGAUAGUAUCAGAAGAGGAAGAGGCGGCUAACUCUGUGCCAGCAGCCGCGGUAAUACAGAGGCCUCAAGCGUUGUUCGGAUUCAUUGGGCGUAAAGGGAGCGUAGGCGGUCGGGUAAGUCGGAUGUGAAAUCCUGGGGCUCAACCUCAGAACUGCAUUCGAUACUGCUCGGCUAGAGGACUGGAGAGGUGAGUGGAAUUCACGGUGUAGCAGUGAAAUGCGUAGAUAUCGUGAGGAAGACCAGCGGCGAAGGCGGCUCACUGGACAGUUUCUGACGCUGAUGCUCGAAGGCCAGGGGAGCAAACG
This 424-nucleotide ribosomal RNA is filed under the name uncultured bacterium. RNAcentral describes it as "bacterial SSU rRNA". It matches the Rfam family "Bacterial small subunit ribosomal RNA", at positions 357 to 774 of the family's 1533-position model. The record is from RNAcentral.